GCCGUGUUACGCCGUUAUGGAGGCGGCUCGGGCUGUAAACCCGUAGUUCCUACGUCGCGGGGUUCGAUUCCCUGACACGGCACCA
RNAcentral lists this transfer RNA (85 nucleotides) under Caudoviricetes sp. RNAcentral's name for it is "tRNA-Tyr". It matches the Rfam family "tRNA". Rfam says of the family: Transfer RNA (tRNA) molecules are approximately 80 nucleotides in length. Their secondary structure includes four short double-helical elements and three loops (D, anti-codon, and T loops). Lineage: Duplodnaviria; Heunggongvirae; Uroviricota; Caudoviricetes. The record is from RNAcentral.